GGAAGCGAAACUGGUCUGGUGACUGGCCUGGACUUCAAAUCCAGUGGUCCUUUUCGAGAGAGGGGGACGAUGGGUUCGAUUCCCAUACGCUUCCGCCA
RNAcentral lists this transfer RNA (98 nucleotides) under Acidobacteria bacterium RIFCSPLOWO2_02_FULL_59_13. Its description in RNAcentral is "tRNA-Sec". It matches the Rfam family "Selenocysteine transfer RNA". The record is from RNAcentral. RNAcentral also lists the same sequence under 1 other name. Lineage: Bacteria; Pseudomonadati; Acidobacteriota.